ACAGUUUUGACGGUUGCCUGAGCAGCCUUCGUAAUGCGGGGGUCACAGGUUCGAGUCCUGUAAGCGGCACCA
This 72-nucleotide transfer RNA is filed under the name Sphingomonas rubra. RNAcentral describes it as "tRNA_Thr_CGT". Lineage: Bacteria; Pseudomonadati; Pseudomonadota; Alphaproteobacteria; Sphingomonadales; Sphingomonadaceae. The record is from RNAcentral.